GUGAAGACUGGUUCUAAAGAGUCCACUAUAUCAAGGUCCCACACUUCAAUGACAGGGGUCAUAUUUCCCACAGCAAUAUAAUUUCCUACAGGAGGAAAUGAGGUCUUGAGUGCGCCCCUACAUGUGCCUUUCUGACCAGUUCCCAGGUGAUGCCAAUACUGUGCUGCCGAUCCUUGGACCAGAAUUUGAAUAACAAGGGCUCAGUCUUUUGGCCCCAUGGUCCCUGCUUAGGUCCUGAGAACAAAAACCAUCUUCCAUCUUCACCAGUGUCAUGAAAAUGAGGACUGAAUCAGAUCAUGAAAUGUGAAUACGCUUGGCAAAUGAGACGUAAGAGAGAGCAAGCCAGCGAGCAUGAGCCAGGAGGAGCGGCAGACGGAGGAAGGAGAAGCAGACUCCUUGCUGAGCAGGGAGCCCGAUGUGGGGCUCGAUCCAGGAACCCUGGGGUCAUGACCUGAGCCAAAGGCAGCCGCUUAACGACUGAGCCACCUAGGCACCCCUCAGCUUACAUUUUAGAUAAAAAUGAUGAUGAAGCUUUAAAAUAAUCUUUUAUCCAUGUCAAAUCAACCUUCAGAUCAGCUUACUCCCUGCUGAGCCUGGAGCCUGAUGCCGCAGGACUCGAUCUCAC
Ailuropoda melanoleuca (giant panda) is the source of this 625-nucleotide long non-coding RNA. RefSeq lists it as uncharacterized. The transcript has 4 exons. The record is from RefSeq and is a predicted model, not a curated record. NCBI's taxonomy places the organism in Eukaryota, Metazoa, Chordata, Mammalia, Carnivora, Ursidae.